RNAcentral lists this ribosomal RNA (429 nucleotides) under uncultured bacterium. RNAcentral's name for it is "bacterial SSU rRNA". It matches the Rfam family "Bacterial small subunit ribosomal RNA", at positions 355 to 796 of the family's 1533-position model. The record is from RNAcentral.
UGGGGAAUAUUGCACAAUGGGCGAAAGCCUGAUGCAGCGACGCCGCGUGAGGGAUGACGGCCUUCGGGUUGUAAACCUCUUUCGCCAGGGACGAAGCGCAAGUGACGGUACCUGGAUAAGAAGCACCGGCUAACUACGUGCCAGCAGCCGCGGUAAUACGUAGGGUGCAAGCGUUGUCCGGAAUUAUUGGGCGUAAAGAGCUCGUAGGCGGUUUGUCGCGUCGGCUGUGAAAUCUGGAGGCUUAACCUUCAGCGUGCAGUCGAUACGGGCAGACUUGAGUUCGGUAGGGGAGACUGGAAUUCCUGGUGUAGCGGUGAAAUGCGCAGAUAUCAGGAGGAACACCGGUGGCGAAGGCGGGUCUCUGGGCCGAUACUGACGCUGAGGAGCGAAAGCGUGGGGAGCGAACAGGAUUAGAUACCCCCGUAGUCC